AGUGAACGCUGGCGGUAGGCCUAACACAUGCAAGUCGAACGGCAGCACAGUAAGAGCUUGCUCUUACGGGUGGCGAGUGGCGGACGGGUGAGGAAUACAUCGGAAUCUACUUUUUCGUGGGGGAUAACGUAGGGAAACUUACGCUAAUACCGCAUACGACCUACGGGUGAAAGCAGGGGAUCUUCGGACCUUGCGCGAUUGAAUGAGCCGAUGUCGGAUUAGCUAGUUGGCGGGGUAAAGGCCCACCAAGGCGACGAUCCGUAGCUGGUCUGAGAGGAUGAUCAGCCACACUAGAACUGGGACACGGUCCAGACUCCUACGGGAGGCAGCAGUGGGGAAUAUUAGACAGUGGGCGCAAGCCUGAUCCAGCCAUACCGCGUGGGUGAAGAAGGCCUUCGGGUUGUGAAGCCCUUUUGUUGGGAAAGAAAAGCAGCAGGUUAAUACCCCGCUGUUCUGACGGUACCCAAAGAAUAAGCACCGGCUAACUUCGUG
Molecule: ribosomal RNA, 492 nt
Filed under: uncultured bacterium
Lineage: Bacteria
Description: partial 16S ribosomal RNA
Rfam family: Bacterial small subunit ribosomal RNA
Source: RNAcentral